Molecule: ribosomal RNA, 457 nt
Filed under: Acanthamoeba sp.
Lineage: Eukaryota; Discosea; Longamoebia; Acanthamoebidae
Description: SSU rRNA
Rfam family: Eukaryotic small subunit ribosomal RNA
Source: RNAcentral
GGCCCAGAUCGUUUACCGUGAAAAAAUUAGAGUGUUCAAAGCAGGCAGAUCCAAUUUUCUGCCACCGAAUACAUUAGCAUGGGAUAAUGGAAUAGGACCCUGUCCUCCUAUUUUCAGUUGGUUUGCCGCGAGGACCAGGGUAAUGAUUAAUAGGGAUAGUUGGGGGCAUUAAUAUUUAAUUGUCAGAGGUGAAAUUCUUGGAUUUAUGAAAGAUUAACUUCUGCGAAAGCAUCUGCCAAGGAUGUUUUCAUUAAUCAAGAACGAAAGUUAGGGGAUCGAAGACGAUCAGAUACCGUCGUAGUCUUAACCAUAAACGAUGCCGACCAGCGAUUAGGAGACGUUGAAUACAAAACACCACCAUCGGCGCGAUCGUCCUUGGCGUCGGUCUUUCGGGGCCGGCGCGGGGGCGGUUUAGCCCGGUGGCACCGGUGAAUGACUCCCCUAGCAGCUUGUGAGA